Molecule: long non-coding RNA, 5948 nt
Organism: Aquila chrysaetos chrysaetos
Lineage: Eukaryota; Metazoa; Chordata; Aves; Accipitriformes; Accipitridae
Exons: 5
Source: RefSeq, a predicted model, not a curated record
CUGCUACGUGCUGCGCUGGCCAGAGUGAGAAUAUUACCAUCAGGAAUGGGUGCAUGAGAAUUUUCACCUUCUGAAAUGGAGAUUUGUGAUCCCAUGACUUGAACACUUCCCUUUCAGAAUCUGUCCACUUUGGGCGUGCAGGAGGAGCAGAGCACUCAGUAUUGGAUGCAUCACCACCUUAAUUUUAUUUUGAGGAGACUUUCCAUACUGAAAACAUCUUCCUUUCAAUGUUUUCCUUACUUUCCCAAGAGCUGAUCUAAAUUUUAUUAAAGAUAAAACACUUUUACCAAAGGAACCCGUUAAACCUGUUAGCAAGCAAUACACAGGGAAGCAACUUGGCCACAUGGUGGAGCUUUCUGCUCUCUCUGCGGGAAAAACGGCCAGAAGAGCUGACUGCCAGCAUCCUCCAGCAAAGAGGGAGAUACUAAGUCCUAGAAGUCCUUCCAGAGUGGAUAUUAAGACAAAGAGCUUUUGGCAUUUGUGCAGACUUGAGGGAACAUCUGUGUUUGUGAUGGCAGAAGAUUCAUUGUGUGAUAAUAUAAAUGAAGCCUCAAAGGAAAAUCCUUUUGCUGAUAAAAAAAAAUCUUGUAGCUAAAACAUUAUGCCGCCAGUUCCUCUCAUCACCAGCCUGGUCUACGUUACAUCUAGAGGUAAUCAGCUGGAUUUGUUUUCCAGGCUAAGGAUAUUGUGUAUCUUCAUUAUGCACUGGUGACUCUGAGGGUUUGUGGACUUUGUCUAGGUAGAACUUCUGAAUCCUGUUUUAAUACUGCAAACACUGUAUACACUUGGGUGCCUUUCACUGCGUUCUUACCAUAUAUUUCAUGUGCUAACGAACAGAAAUGGGCCACAAGACAAAUGCUAAUGAGCAUGUUGGCCACUGAAAGCAACAUUUGGUUCGCUUUGCCUCCUUGGUGUAAAGAGAAAGUUUGCUCCAAAUUCCCUGUGGGAAAACUACAGGGAGCAGCUUUCCCCAGAGAACAGAUGGAUGGAUUUUGGUGAAGCCUUUAAAGUCUGAUCUUGGGAAGACUAAAGGAGUUUUGGGUCUGAAUAAGGAAAUGAGGAGACAAGUUUAACAGAGGAAGCAGGUACAUUUCCAAGGAAGUGAGGAGGGGACCAGCCAGAGCUUGAAGGAAACAUCCUGUAAAAGGCACAGGCUGUGAAUGAACUACUGCAGGGGGAUCCUGUGGCCCUUAGGCUCUCAGGCAGUUGUUACAUGGUACCAUAAAUCCAUGCUACAGUCGAAAGGGAUGAGCCCACCCGACUCCCUGCAUUCCCCUGGUUCAUUCCCACCACCUCUCUUGCGUUCGCAGUAAGGAUUAUGCUGCUGAAUGGUAGCUGAAUCAAAGAACCGAUCUGCUGAAAACUAAUCUGGAAAGUGGGGAAAGGCAGAAGAUUGUCAGAAGUAUUAUGCAGAGGUGCUGAAUUCAAGCGAUCAUGCAAUCACAGCCUCAUACACCUAGCUUUUCUAAGUACUGCAUUGAUGCAAUAUCCUGGAGAGCAAGUGGAACAAGCACAUCUCUUUGCAGACAAUAAUUAGAACGGCUGUGUUUGGGGUUUUUUCCUUGGACAAAUGAUGAUUGUUGUUUGCUAAUGAGUUAACUGUUGUGUAUCUAAACAACUUCCUAGGUGAUGCAGUAAUAGAAUUAAUAACAUUCCUCAUGCAAUGAAUUAAGCUGGUCUGGAUUUCCUCCCAUUUUUUGUGAACAUUGGGUUUGUGAAGAGGUUAGACAACAAAUGCCAGAGAACUAUACUAUUUCAAUGCCAAAGGCCCUCUAAAAUCGGGGUGCAAUUUUAGGCUGUAAAAUUGAGUGGCUGUUACAAAAAGCAAGGAAACUAGAACACAGAUUUUUAUGGAUAACUGCUCCAGCCACACCCCACGUGUCCCAGGCUUUUGCUUUGUAAGACUUUCCCAAGUAUCAUCACUCUAGAAAUUCUUAGUCAAUCAGAACUGUUUCUUGUAUUUUUAAUACACUUUACAUUAAGUGAUAGUGUCACUUCUUUCUUCUGACUCUCUACCUUUAACCAGUUGAUAUAGCCUAAGCGUUCUUCUAGAAGGGGAAAAGUAUGAUUUUCUGAAUCCCUUUAGUUUGAGACACAGACAGAAUUCAGGUCUUGUAUUUCCUCAGCGCAUGCUUUCAACAUUAGGAUCCUGGACAAAAUUAUCAUAAUCUUUUUCAUAUUCUUUUAAAGGAAGGUGGUUGUGGUCACUCUGUGUGAGGAGCUCAGUCAUGUUGUUCCAUGCUAGGCAUAUGGGAUAAAAAUCUGCGGGGGCUUAGGCAUGGCAUAAACAUGUAGCACCUCAACUCUCACAGAUGGUAGAAGAUCUGGGGAGAAACAGGGACUGUCUGAAGAACUUGACCAAUGUAAAAUCAAGCUCUCAGAGAUCAGGACAAAGUUUAGAGGCUUGACUAUUGGUGCUCAGAAGCCCUUGCCUUGGCUGAAAAAACUGCUGACUGCUCUGUUUCAGUUCUCCUUAGCUGAAGAACUUCAUCAUAUGCAUUUCAAAGUGACGCUGAGCUCUGACUGAAGGUGUGGUUUUGGUGAAUAUUAGAAAUGGCGCAAAACAACAUUCUAAUAUUUAGAGGAUAAUGACAACCAACUUGAAUUGAACCAGACCCAAACUUUCUGUGUUUCAAAUGUUGACAGUUCCUCGAUUCCUCACCCUGGGACAAAAUGAGACAAUCUUAUAGAAGAAUGUGUUCCCAAAGACCCUUAAAAUCACUUGUGCAAAUUCAAGGUUUUCAUCUCAGUCAAAAAUGAAAAAACAACCCCAAGCCCUGACUAUUCAGUUACUUUCUGGCAUUGUCAAUCCCUUGAACUCUUCCUCUUUUCUUUGAAAAUGUGAAAUUUCUUCCUUUAUUUUUUUAAAUGUUCUAAAAUUAUCUUCUUCAUUUUCACCGAUUCCUAGGUCUGGCUUGUAAUGACUUACGUAAGUCUGGAAAAUAAUUUGGUUACAGUGCUUUCAAAAAGGUCUCUGGUGAAAUGCAUAUGUCCGUAGGAUGCACGUCAUACUGGUGGAUAGACAAAGCUGUACAUAAUACAGAUUCCCUCUCAGCAGAAGCAGUGACAGCCUAUGACACUUGAAAAAUAAGGGUUUUUUUACAGUGCCUAAUUACUUUCUUGUCACCCGAAAGCAGAGCCCUGCGAGUCACAGGGGCAGUGUGUCUUGCAAACCAGGGCAGUGCUGCAAGCUGUGCGCCUCAGUUGAAUGGGCUGUAAAAGCUGUUGGGGCUUGUUCUCCCCCACCAUGGGUGCUUGGCUUGUGGCUACUUCUGUUUAUCCUUAGCCCCUCUCUGCUCCCCUUCUGUUUGUCCUUAGCCACUCUCUUAGCAUUAGGCUCUAAAACGCUCUUGACAAUUUUCUGAAUUCAAUAUAUUCUGUUGUGGAUUGUACUGUCAUGUAAAUGUAUAUUUUAAUAGUCAUGAUACUCAUCCAAGAAUAAAAAUAGUCAUGAUGAUGUAAGAUCAGUUAACUGCACAGGAGGAGCUUUUUAAAUGGAAUAUUUUUUGUGGGGCAUGUGAAUUCACAAACAAAAGUGAACCACAAUGGGAGUAUUCCCCUUGAUCCAAGUCUGAUAAAUGUCAGCAAGAGUUAUGAACAUGCUGAAAUUGAAGACCAAAACCUACUGCAUGAAAUUAAACUGUCCAAACAAUCUUAUGGGGAGACAAGGAUUUAACAGAGUUCAGUAGAUCAAUUUUACUCUCAGUAAGUGAAGACAAUGGCUUUGGCAUUGUUACCCUGGAAAUCCCAUAACUGCUCUUACGUCCAGCUGCACAUCUAUAAUAUGUCUGGGGACUAAACAGGUGAACUGAGAUUGUAAUCUGAGAAUGGAUGCCUUUCUUUGAAGUCCAGCUGGGUUGUCCUUUGAUCUUAGUUCUUUCAGCUCUAAAAGUAAAGGUCCUCAAACUAAAAGGAGUUUCAGUAUUUUUACGCAAACUUGGAUGCUGUACAGCAUAAUCACCUAUCACUGGUUUCUAUGCGGUUGAAUGCUUUUAGCACUAAUAAUUAGUUCACUUAAAGAUCCUUUUUUCAGUGUUUCCAAAUACUUUUUUCCCCCCACCUGUUUUAUGUACCUAAGAAUCUGGAGGGGUAAUACUCUUUUUUUACAGAGAUGACUGGAAAACUCAGUACUUUCUGAAUUUUUACCUUGGAACAGGGUUCAGCAAUGUUGUGAACCUCCCAAGCAGGGAGAUUUUGAAAAGGUCCCAGAGUUUAACUGCAGUGCUGGAAAGAUGGGUAAAAUUUAAACUGAAACUCCAUGGGAAUGGACAAGCAUGCAGAAUAUAGCCGACUGUUUGCCUGAAUUUUCAAUAAGCAGAGUUCACUAACCCAGCUUUUUCCUGGAUAAGUGUUUGAAAAUGCAAAAUGAUCCUAUGGAUCAAAUGUGAGGCUUCCUAUUACGCACGGAGAGCUGCCACUAUAAGUUUUGCAGUAAAAGGUUAAUGUCCUGUUUUACAUCCAGUUAAUGGCAAUUGAAAUCAAAUCUAUAACCCCUGUAGUAUUCAUUCAGCGUAAAACAAACCCCAGUAGGUUUCUGGAUUCAAUAGAGCAUAUUGAAAUGGGCAGCUGGGUGUUCUGGUUGCUAAACUGCUUGCUGAGUUGAAAAGCAAAACCACAACCCUCUUUGUGAUCUGAGUUAAUGUUUGAGUUCUUUAAAGAGGCCAUUGCAGGGAUCGUGGGCAACGGAGGAUGCCACCAACUUCAGUGAUAAGCUAUUGAAGCCUGCUUUCUAUUUUCUCUUAUAAAGCACUCUGCAUCCUUCUGUCAGAUGGGCUCUGAAUUCAUGAGUCUCUUGCUGCUCGUUGUGCUUUUAGUGUUUGGUAGUAACUUCAUAUUACGUAUGUGACUUCAGCACUGGCAGUAUUAGAGCUAUAUAAAUGUCAGGUUUAAAUUGUCCCUUUGUUUUUUAGACUUUAGGCUUCCUUCUAACAAAGGGAAACAAUUUAUCUUCCUUGCUGACAUGAUAAGAUAUACUAGCUAAUUAAGUCUAUGUAAAUCAUUAAUGUUAGUAUUUUAAUGUUUUUGGUAGUGCUAUACCACCAUCAUAUUAAAGGAUACUGCUUUAUCUGUGAAAUGUAGUAAUCCCUGGGAGCUACCAAUGAAGUUAAGGCUUAAUCUCUCCACUGUGGUUCCUUCAAAUGAAAACUAGGGCAUCCAAAAGCUCAUGGAAAAGUAUGAAGUAGGAACGGUAAUACAGAGGGAGAAACAGCUGUGUUUUUCUCCUGUAGUUUUUGGUGAUCUAGCUUAUGCUCUCUGGGGGAUUCAGGACGUUACUGUGUCAAAACCCACUUUCUGGGUGUAGGGGAAUUUUCCUUAGCGAGAUGUCUAUCUGCAACAGGAGUUUAAUGUUUCUGCACGUAACUGGACUAAGCAGGCAGCUAAUGGAUUUUAGUAGAUUGGCCUGACUAGAGAGGCACUUAUUCUCAUGAGCUAAGGCAGCAGAAUCCGGCCUCCAGUGCUGUGCCACUGGCUAAGAUGCAAAGGAAAAUAACUAACUACAACCAAGGAAAUACAUUUGAACUGACAUAUUAUUGCUUUUAAAUUACAAAAUUGAAAGAAUAUCUUGUAGCAGGUCAAAAAAAGUGUGAUGUGGGCGUGUUUGCAGUACUCUGAGCAUCAAAGCUUUAAAGGGCUUUCCUGGCAUUCAGAAUCGUUCCUCUGUUUUUUCCAGCUGGAACAAGGUGACAAGCCUUUUAAUGGAGAUGUGUUUCUGGGCUGAUACCCAUUCCUUCUGGCUGUUUGCUUUCACUUGAUGAAUGGUCUGACACACAUGGAGGACAGUAGGAUGCUGCUUCUGUCCUAUGAACUAGAAGCCAAAUAGGAAAACCAUUCAAAGGCUGGUAGAUUUAAGUAUGGUACAGAUAGUUUAAUAUGUCAAAGCUCUGACAGCCUCUAUUUUACGGACUUUGUUAUGAAAAAUAAUAAAAUGCAGCACAGAAAAAGUAAAA